UGCUGGUGGGUGUGAACUGACUGUCUGGUCAGCAUCAACUCAGAGGCUGCAUGGGAGUGAGAGACUUGGCUUCUAUGGAGCCAAAGAGGCUGGGACCUGAUCCAGUUGAUUCAAGAAUAAUUCUCAUGGAAGUGGGAGGACAGUUGCAGAACUUUCAAACCUGGGCCUUAAGAGAGUAGCAAGUUCUGUUUUCAAGUGCUUGGAAUGCUCCUUCAUGGAACCCAGUUGCCAUGCUAUGAAAAGCCCAAUCAAUUGGAGAGACCACAUGGAGAACUAAGUUGCUCCAGUUCAGCUUUCAGCAGAGAACCAACUCCAACUGCCAGCCAUGCGAGUCAGCCAUCUCAGACAUUCCAGCUUCCCAAUGACUGUAACACCAGCUUACCCCAUGUGCAACCAAGGAACCACCAGGCUGAGCCCCAGCCCACCCAAAGGACUGUGAGA
This 441-nucleotide long non-coding RNA is filed under the name Homo sapiens (human). Its description in RNAcentral is "HSALNT0070434". Lineage: Eukaryota; Metazoa; Chordata; Mammalia; Primates; Hominidae. The record is from RNAcentral.